Pelobates cultripes (western spadefoot toad) is the source of this 216-nucleotide non-coding RNA. The record is from the annotation of a GenBank genome assembly. NCBI's taxonomy places the organism in Eukaryota, Metazoa, Chordata, Amphibia, Anura, Pelobatidae.
GCCAGUGAGGGAGUAUUUUGUCAUCACCAAAGACAAGCAUGCCCCCUCAAAGUGAGCAUGUUGGUUCAAUGCACUUCCAGGGUCCCAAUGCACAGUGUCCUGCUAAAGAGCUCAGCUUGCGCAUGAGAAAAGGGCUCUGAGCAGCGUAACCGUAUUUAAUGACACGCUUACCCUGCCUUUGUUGGUCACUUGUCUCUGGUGACUCCUUAAAUGCUG